ACCCAGGUGCUUCACACUCGUAGCCUUCGCCUCACAGAAGCCCACGUGAAAGGAGGAGGAGUCUUAGGACUAGCUGAAUGGAAAGAGAGGAAAAGGGAAGACAAGGGCUAACACUUUGAGCUUGUUUGUCUCAGAAUAUUGUUUCCUUUAGUAGAAAUGGGAUUGGAAGAUAUUAGAGACGUCAUCUGUGAUGAAUGUGGGAAUGUGUGCAGAAACCGACACAUUUCUUUGGCUUCCUUGGAGUGC
RNAcentral lists this long non-coding RNA (246 nucleotides) under Bos taurus (domestic cattle). RNAcentral describes it as "long non-coding RNA NONBTAT015152". Lineage: Eukaryota; Metazoa; Chordata; Mammalia; Artiodactyla; Bovidae. The record is from RNAcentral.